Mastomys coucha (southern multimammate mouse) is the source of this 822-nucleotide long non-coding RNA. RefSeq lists it as uncharacterized. The transcript is spliced from 2 exons. NCBI's taxonomy places the organism in Eukaryota, Metazoa, Chordata, Mammalia, Rodentia, Muridae. The record is from RefSeq and is a predicted model, not a curated record.
GCUGCGUGGAAGGGUGGGGCCGAGGGGCUUGUAGGGCGGGUUGAAGACGGUGGGAACGGAAGGAAGCCCUGCAAACGCGGCUGUGGGCGGGGUUAUAUGGGGCGGGACAACGGCGUAGGUGGAGAUAGGGAGACGGUGGGCGGGGCAGGGCUGAUGUGGAAGUGAAAGGGAGGGCAAGGUGGGUGGGGCUAGAGCCGCGGAGAGGGUCAGGCGAUCUGUGGGCGGGGUGGAGCGGACUUGGGAAGCAGAGAGGAAGAAGAUGGAGGGCGGGCUGUCGGUGGAAAGGCGGAGCUAGGAGGAAGGAGGAGCGGGGCCUGCUGUGGAAGGGGAGGAGGCGCGAUGAGGAAAGGAGCAAGGGAACGAUGCUCUGGUGUUGAACGAUGCUCUGUUGUUGAGUCCCAUCUUGCUGAAGACUGUGGGAGGAGGCCUGAGCUAGCCUGCUGGAGCCCCAACAAGGAGCUUCCCAACUGCCAGCCUGCCAGUGAAGCUACAUCCAUCAUUCAACACCUGCUUCCCACGCACGUAUGAGAGAGCCCAGCACAAACCCGCUUAGUCAGUCCAAAAAUGCCUGGCCUCUCUGUGAAUCAGGAGCCAAACAAAUUGCUAUUAUUAUAAAGGUUCAGAUUUACAAGUUGUUUGUUAUGCCCUCCAAACUGACACAGCUUUCAGAACCAAACAGAAGAAAGUGAGCUUAAACCCAAGAAAAUGGUAUCUGUAGGUAACUGUUUCCACUCUACAGAAGUUGAUAAGGCAUUACCUUUCCUUCUUCGCAACUAAGAGACCUACUGUGCAAAGUAAAACUUGAUUCUUACCUCCCAAGGA